AGGACGAACGCUGGCGGCGUGCUUAACACAUGCAAGUCGAACGAGGUCCAUGAAGUAGCAAUACUUCGGAAGACCUAGUGGCGAACGGGUGCGUAACACGUGAGGAACUUGUCCCGGUCUCUGGGAUAACAGUUGGAAACGACUGCUAAUACCGGAUGACGUCGGAGCAUCGCAUGGUGCGCUGACGAAAGGGUUACUGGAUCGGGAGAGCCUCGCGGCCUAUCAGCUUGUUGGUGGGGUAAACGGCCUACCAAGGCAUCGACGGUAGCUGGUCUGAGAGGAUGAUCAGCCACACUGGGACUGAGACACGGCCCAGACUCCUACGGGAGGCAGCAGUGGGAAUCUUGCGCAAUGGGCGAAAGCCUGACGCAGCAACGCCGCGUGCGGGAAGAAGGCUCUCGGGUUGUAAACCGCUUUCAGCAGGAACGAAAUGACGGUACUUGCAGAAGAAGGUGCGGCCAACUACGUG
Molecule: ribosomal RNA, 469 nt
Filed under: uncultured bacterium
Lineage: Bacteria
Description: bacterial SSU rRNA
Rfam family: Bacterial small subunit ribosomal RNA
Source: RNAcentral